UACGUAGGGUGCGAGCGUUGUCCGGAAUUAUUGGGCGUAAAGGGCUCGUAGGCGGUUUGUCGCGUCGGGGGUGAAAACCUUGGGCUUAACUCAGGGCUUGCUUUCGAUACGGGCAGACUAGAGGUAUGCAGGGGAGAACGGAAUUCCUGGUGUAGCGGUGAAAUGCGCAGAUAUCAGGAGGAACACCGGUGGCGAAGGCGGUUCUCUGGGCAUGUCCUGACGCUGAGGAGCGAAAGUGUGGGGAGCGAACAGG
RNAcentral lists this ribosomal RNA (253 nucleotides) under uncultured bacterium. RNAcentral's name for it is "partial 16S ribosomal RNA". It matches the Rfam family "Bacterial small subunit ribosomal RNA", at positions 524 to 776 of the family's 1533-position model. The record is from RNAcentral.